AAGGGUUACAGCUCUUUUAAAAUUUGUCUAGCAAGUUUUCCAGUUUUCACUGGGAACUAUUCCC
This is a small nuclear RNA of Callithrix jacchus (white-tufted-ear marmoset), 64 nucleotides long. Its record names the gene U7. It matches the Rfam family "U7 small nuclear RNA". Rfam says of the family: Animal histone pre-mRNAs are spliced by a different mechanism than nuclear pre-mRNAs and self-splicing introns. This processing involves the U7 snRNP, which contains only one RNA species: U7. The 5' end of U7 RNA is thought to base-pair to a conserved spacer element downstream of the cleavage site in histone pre-mRNA. The record is from Ensembl. NCBI's taxonomy places the organism in Eukaryota, Metazoa, Chordata, Mammalia, Primates, Cebidae.